AGCUCGGGGGAGGGGAUGCGUCCGAGGAGGCCGAGGGGGCAGUACUCGGAACCCCUUCUGCAGAGUGGGUUGGGGUCUGCGAAGAGGCCUUCAGCACGCCACGCCCGAGCCAGCAAGCCCCUUCCUGGCAGCUCGGCCGGCAGAAAGUCUGCUGUUGGUGCCCGCCUGAUGAAGGAUUUGGACCAGAAGGAUCCUGCCCUUCCUGUGGGAUAAAACGGACCUGUGAGGAUGCCGCCGGGGGCUGCUCCCUGCACUGUGGGGGGGCCGUGUUUGUCCACCCAUCUCCUGAAUUAGCUGUGCCCCCAAAGUCCUGCUGUCCCCACAGGCUCCAUUUCCAGAGAUCUCUCCGGGGCAGACCCUGCCUGUCCAUCCUGCUGCUGUCCUAUUAGAAAUGUUGGAUGGGCAAGGCAAAGACUUGGAAGGAAGAAGUGUAUUAUACUCCGGGUCCCAGAGAGGGCGCUACGGUGUGCGCGGGGGCCACAGAGGAGCAUAGCCAGGGACCCCACAGAACAGGUGGGGAGCAGAGAGAGAAAGGACCUGUGGGCGGAGCCUUUCCCGGGGUCAAGGGUUAGGUUGUUCCAAAGCAAGCCGAGCAAGCAGGAAAAAGCAGGAAGCGAAGUCCUGGGCUGACCUGGUUACCGAGCUCCAGCUGCUUUCGAGUGUGAGCUCAGAUCACGACAGUGAGACAGGCGUUACACGCUGGAGCAAGAACUCACGACGGAGGAUAUGUUUUUCCUUUUGGUUCUAUUGAGGCAUAAUUGGACCUUCGGCACCGGGUAGGUUUAAGGUGUGCCGCAUGACGAUGAGACUUACACACGUCACGGAAUGAUGACCACAGCACAUCUGGUGACAUCCAUCAUCACACGUGGAUGAAAAACAGGAAUAGAAACAAAGUUUUUCCUUGUGAUGAGAACUCAGGAUUCACUCUCCUGACAAGUUUCAUAUAUAACCCGCAGCAGCGGUUCAUUCUAUUUACCAUGUUGUACAUUACAUCCCUAGUACUUCUUUAUCUUGUGACUGGAAGUUUGUACAUUUCGACCACCUCCAUCCAAUUCCCCCUCCCUUCACCCCGCCUCUGGUAACCAGAAACCUCUUCUCUUUUUCUAUGAAUUUGUGUUUGAAGUAUAAUUGACCUAUAACACUAGGUUAGUUCCCAUUAUACAAUGUAGUGAUUUGAUAUUGCCAUACAUUUCGAAAUGAUCACCAUAGUAAGUCUAGUUACCAUCUGUCACCAUUCAAAGGAAUUAUAUGAUUACUGACUCUAUUCCCCACAGUGUA
This is a long non-coding RNA of Aethalodelphis obliquidens (Pacific white-sided dolphin), 1278 nucleotides long. RefSeq lists it as uncharacterized. The transcript has 2 exons. The record is from RefSeq and is a predicted model, not a curated record. Lineage: Eukaryota; Metazoa; Chordata; Mammalia; Artiodactyla; Delphinidae.